CCAGACUUGACUUCCUGCGAAGUCCGUCGAAAGGCGGAUGUACCUUUUAGGAACGCAGUGACAGGUGAUGCAUGGCCGUCGUCAGCUCGUGUCGUGAGAUGUAUGGUUAAGUCCAUUAACGAGCGCAACCCUUGUGUUCAGUUGAAUUUUUCUGAACAGACUGCCCUGGUAACAGGGAGGAAGGGGGGGAUGAUGUCAGGUCAGUAUUUCCCUUAUGUCUGGGGCUACAAACACGCUACAAUGGCCGAUACAAAGGGCUGCCAACCCGCGAGGGGGAGCAAAUCUCAUCAAAAUCGGUCUCAGUUCGGAUUGUAGGCUGAAACCCGCCUACAUGAAGCCGGAAUCGCUAGUAACGGUAGGUCAGCAUUACUACCGUGAAUACGUUCC
RNAcentral lists this ribosomal RNA (387 nucleotides) under uncultured bacterium. RNAcentral describes it as "bacterial SSU rRNA". It matches the Rfam family "Bacterial small subunit ribosomal RNA", at positions 975 to 1374 of the family's 1533-position model. The record is from RNAcentral.